This 279-nucleotide ribosomal RNA is filed under the name uncultured Lachnospiraceae bacterium. Its description in RNAcentral is "partial 16S ribosomal RNA". It matches the Rfam family "Bacterial small subunit ribosomal RNA", at positions 511 to 788 of the family's 1533-position model. Lineage: Bacteria; Bacillati; Bacillota; Clostridia; Lachnospirales; Lachnospiraceae. The record is from RNAcentral.
GCAGCCGCGGUAAUACGUAGGGGGCAAGCGUUAUCCGGAAUUACUGGGUGUAAAGGGAGCGUAGGCGGCAUGUCAAGCCAGAUGUGAAAGCCCGGGGCUUAACCCCGUGGAUUGCAUUUGGAACUGGCAAGCUAGAGUACAGGAGAGGAAAGCGGAAUUCCUAGUGUAGCGGUGAAAUGCGUAGAUAUUAGGAAGAACACCAGUGGCGAAGGCGGCUUUCUGGACUGAAACUGACGCUGAGGCUCGAAAGCGUGGGGAGCAAACAGGAUUAGAUACCCC